UACGUAGGGGGCGAGCGUUGUCCGGAAUUACUGGGCGUAAAGGGCGCGUAGGCGGUCUGUUAAGUUAGAUGUGAAAUCCCCGGGCUUAACCUGGGUGUUGCAUUUAAAACUGGCGGACUUGAGUGCAGGAGAGGAAAGCGGAAUUCCUAGUGUAGCGGUGAAAUGCGUAGAUAUUAGGAGGAACACCAGUGGCGAAGGCGGCUUUCUGGACUGUAACUGACGCUGAGGCGCGAGAGCGUGGGGAGCAAACAGGAUUAGAUACCCUGGUAGUCCACGCCGUAAACGAUGGAUACUAGGUGUAGGGGGUAUCGACUCCCCCUGUGCCGCAGCAAACGCAAUAAGUAUCCCGCCUGGGGAGUACGGCCGCAAGGUUGAA
Molecule: ribosomal RNA, 376 nt
Filed under: uncultured bacterium
Lineage: Bacteria
Description: bacterial SSU rRNA
Rfam family: Bacterial small subunit ribosomal RNA
Source: RNAcentral